Molecule: ribosomal RNA, 255 nt
Filed under: uncultured bacterium
Lineage: Bacteria
Description: partial 16S ribosomal RNA
Rfam family: Bacterial small subunit ribosomal RNA
Source: RNAcentral
UACGGAGGGUGCAAGCAUUAAUCGGAUUUAUUGGGCGUAAAGGGCGUGUAGGCGGAAUUAUAAGUCAGGUGUGAAAUCCCGGAGCUCAACUUCGGACCCGCAUUUGAAACUAUAAUUCUAGAGGAUAGGUGGGGAAAACAGAAUUCCACAUGUAGCGGUGAAAAUGCGUAGAUAUGUGGAGGAAUACCGGUGGCGAAGGCGGUUUUCUAACUUAUUCCUGACGCUGAGGCGCGAAAGCAAGGGGGAGCAAACAGG